UUUUUGGCCAAGGUAGUGACGCGUUGUACCUUGUGUGGUGUGCAGGUGUAUGGGAUUACAUUUAUCUUCUAAAGCUUAGUUGUGACAAAAAUAAAGUGGAUUACCUAAGCCUUAGUGGGAAGCUGUUACCAGGAAUGUACCAGUGAAGCGAUGUCGAUGAGACCGAAGGUAGAAAAACUGGAUGACGUGAAGAAGACAGACGUUAACAUGUUCAAGAUUUGUGUGUUCGGGGAGUGUGGAGCUGAUGGGGAUGCAGGGCGACCUUCAGGAAUAGUCUUCCAACCAUCGAAAAUAUCCAGGUAUGCAGUGAAAGCCAGAUGUUGGUCUCGGGGCAUCUGAAGUACUCUCGACAGUAGAAGAGGAGAAGGAGGAAGAGGAGGAGUAGGAGGAGGAGGAGAGGUAGGAAGCAUGGGAAAAGGAAGAAGAGGAGAAGGCUAAACAAGAGUACGAAUUAAAAAGAAAACUAAGAAACCU
RNAcentral lists this long non-coding RNA (474 nucleotides) under Portunus trituberculatus (swimming crab). Its description in RNAcentral is "uncharacterized LOC123504171, transcript variant X1". Lineage: Eukaryota; Metazoa; Arthropoda; Malacostraca; Decapoda; Portunidae. The record is from RNAcentral.